GUUGUAUGGUUAAGUGACUAAGCGUACACGGUGGAUGCCUUGGCAGUCAGAGGCGAUGAAAGACGUAGUAACUUGCGAUAAGCCCAGAUUAGGUAGUAACAACCAUUUGAGUCUGGGAUUUCUGAAUGGGGAAACCCACGUGCAUAAGCACGUAUCCUUACCUGAAUACAUAGGGUAAGGAGGCGAACCGGGGGAACUGAAACAUCUAAGUACCCCGAGGAAAAGAAAUCAACCGAGAUUCCGAAAGUAGCGGCGAGCGAAAUUGGACUAGCCCUUAAGCUUUACACGCGUUAGACGAACGGUCUGGAAAGUCCGACGAUACAGGGUGAUAGUCCCGUAGUUGACGACGUGUGUUCAGUGAAAUCGAGUAGGGCGGGACACGUGAUAUCCUGUCUGAAUAUGGGGGGACCAUCCUCCAAGGCUAAAUACUACUGACUGACCGAUAGUGAACCAGUACCGUGAGGGAAAGGCGAAAAGAACCCCUGUGAGGGGAGUGAAAUAGAACCUGAAACCGUGUACGUACAAGCAGUAGGAGCAGGCUUUGUCCUGUGACUGCGUACCUUUUGUAUAAUGGGUCAGCGACUUAUAUUCAGUGGCAAGGUUAACCAUCUAGGGGAGCCGUAGGGAAACCGAGUCUUAACUGGGCGUUCAGUCUCUGGAUAUAGACCCGAAACCAGGUGAUCUAGCCAUGGGCAGGUUGAAGGUUGAGUAACAUCAACUGGAGGACCGAACCGACUAAUGUUGAAAAAUUAGCGGAUGACUUGUGGCUAGGGGUGAAAGGCCAAUCAAACCUGGAGAUAGCUGGUUCUCCCCGAAAGCUAUUUAGGUAGCGCCUCGGACGAAUACUACUGGGGGUAGAGCACUGUUAAGGCUAGGGGGUCAUCCCGACUUACCAACCCUUUGCAAACUCCGAAUACCAGUAAGUACUAUCCGGGAGACACACGGCGGGUGCUAACGUCCGUCGUGGAGAGGGAAACAACCCAGACCGCCAGCUAAGGUCCCAAAUUACUACUAAGUGGGAAACGAUGUGGGAAGGCUCAGACAGCCAGGAUGUUGGCUUAGAAGCAGCCAUCAUUUAAAGAAAGCGUAAUAGCUCACUGGUCGAGUCGGCCUGCGCGGAAGAUGUAACGGGGCUAAGUAGUAAACCGAAGCUGCGGCAAUAUACUUUUGUAUAUUGGGUAGGGGAGCGUUCUGUAAGCGGUUGAAGGUGUGUGGUAACGCAUGCUGGACGUAUCAGAAGUGCGAAUGCUGACAUGAGUAACGAUAAAGGGGGUGAAAAACCUCCUCGCCGGAAGACCAAGGGUUCCUGUCCAACGUUAAUCGGGGCAGGGUAAGUCGACCCCUAAGGCGAGGCCGAAAGGCGUAGUCGAUGGGAAACGGGUUAAUAUUCCCGUACUUCUUACAAUUGCGAUGGGGGGACGGAGAAGGCUAGGUGGGCCUGGCGACGGUUGUCCAGGUUCAAGUGCGUAGGCUUAAGAGUUAGAUAAAUCCGGCUCUUUCUAAGGCUGAGACACGACGUCGAGCACCUACGGGUGUGAAGUCAUUGAUGCCAUGCUUCCAGGAAAAGCCUCUAAGCUUCAGAUUGUAAGGAAUCGUACCCCAAACCGACACAGGUGGUCGGGUAGAGAAUACCAAGGCGCUUGAGAGAACUCGGGUGAAGGAACUAGGCAAAAUGGUACCGUAACUUCGGGAGAAGGUACGCUCUUGAUGGUGAAGUCCCUUGCGGAUGGAGCUGACGAGAGUCGCAGAUACCAGGUGGCUGCAACUGUUUAUUAAAAACACAGCACUGUGCAAAAUCGUAAGAUGACGUAUACGGUGUGACGCCUGCCCGGUGCCGGAAGGUUAAUUGAUGGGGUUAGACUUCGGUCGAAGCUCUUGAUCGAAGCCCCGGUAAACGGCGGCCGUAACUAUAACGGUCCUAAGGUAGCGAAAUUCCUUGUCGGGUAAGUUCCGACCUGCACGAAUGGCGUAAUGAUGGCCACGCUGUCUCCACCCGAGACUCAGUGAAAUUGAAAUCGCUGUGAAGAUGCAGUGUACCCGCGGCUAGACGGAAAGACCCCGUGAACCUUUACUACAGCUUGGCACUGAACAUUGACCCUACAUGUGUAGGAUAGGUGGGAGGCUUUGAAGCACGUACGCCAGUAUGUGUGGAGCCGUCCUUGAAAUACCACCCUUGUAGUGUUGAUGUUCUAACGUCGACCCCUUAUCGGGGUUGCGGACAGUGCCUGGUGGGUAGUUUGACUGGGGCGGUCUCCUCCCAAAGAGUAACGGAGGAGCACGAAGGUGGGCUAAUCACGGUUGGACAUCGUGAGGUUAGUGCAAUGGCAUAAGCCCGCUUGACUGCGAGAAUGACAAUUCGAGCAGGUGCGAAAGCAGGUCAUAGUGAUCCGGUGGUUCUGAAUGGAAGGGCCAUCGCUCAACGGAUAAAAGGUACUCCGGGGAUAACAGGCUGAUACCGCCCAAGAGUUCAUAUCGACGGCGGUGUUUGGCACCUCGAUGUCGGCUCAUCACAUCCUGGGGCUGAAGUCGGUCCCAAGGGUAUGGCUGUUCGCCAUUUAAAGUGGUACGCGAGCUGGGUUUAGAACGUCGUGAGACAGUUCGGUCCCUAUCUGCCGUGGGCGUUGGAAGAUUGAAGGGGGCUGCUCCUAGUACGAGAGGACCGGAGUGGACGAACCUCUGGUGUUCGGGUUGUGUCGCCAGACGCAUUGCCCGGUAGCUAAGUUCGGAAUCGAUAACCGCUGAAAGCAUCUAAGCGGGAAGCGAGCCCUGAGAUGAGUCUUCCCUGAUACUUUAAGUAUCCUAAAGGGUUGUCGGAGACUACGACGUUGAUAGGUCAGGUGUGUAAGUGCUGUGAGGCAUUGAGCUAACUGAUACUAAUUGCCCGUGAGGCUUAACCAUACAACACCCAAGGGGUUU
RNAcentral lists this ribosomal RNA (2916 nucleotides) under Vibrio parahaemolyticus. RNAcentral's name for it is "bacterial LSU rRNA". It matches the Rfam family "Bacterial large subunit ribosomal RNA". Lineage: Bacteria; Pseudomonadati; Pseudomonadota; Gammaproteobacteria; Vibrionales; Vibrionaceae. The record is from RNAcentral.